GUGAUUGCUUUUAGGCUUACAGAUUGGAUCUGGUAGCAUGAAUCGGAGGUAUUUAAUGGUGUAUUUAGUAACCGCAAACACAUACCACUUUCCACAGCUAUAACAUUCAUCAAUAUCAGAUACCACGUACAGCAAAACCUUUCAUCAAAAACAUUCAGCAAAAGCAUACAACAUACAGCCAAAACAUUUAGCAACCAAAUACUGAUUACACAUACAGCAAUAAACAAUCCAAUCGUCAAACACAUACAGCUAAAACAUUCAGCUACCAUAUAU
Non-coding RNA from Pelobates cultripes (western spadefoot toad), 273 nucleotides. Lineage: Eukaryota; Metazoa; Chordata; Amphibia; Anura; Pelobatidae. The record is from the annotation of a GenBank genome assembly.